AUUCUCAAUAAUAUAGCGCGCAUGGUGUUUGGGAUGAAACUUUUGCGACUCUAGUUUAAGUAACGUCGCAAAUGAUGUAUUUGAUACGACGCCCUUCCAAACAAUUUCAUUUAGCGCCUGAUUUUCAUUUAACGCGCCCCAUCUUUAAAAGAAAGAUAUUUCGCCGUUUUUAAUCUUUCGGUAAAGUUAAUGGCUGCUUCUCAGAUCUACAAUCAAGUUGCCCCAAAUCAAAUCCCCUCUCUCUCUCCGAUUCACAGUCAAGCGCCGAUUUCCAGCGAAGCUAUGCUCUGAUCACUUGCCUGCGUCAUACAGUGUGAAGGAGUUUUUGGAAGAUGGGGUUUAUAUGUACCCACUGAUGUGAAGGUGAAGCAGAUGAAGAGGCCAAAGUCGGACUGCAUGACGGUGCAUAAGGAGUUUAGCAUGCAAGGAUAGGGAUUCGGUGGUGAUUGCUUAUGAGGUUAAGGAUAAACCCUCGGUGUUGAAGGCGGAGGAUUAGGACUGGGUUGUGGUGGUUUUCGUCUUGUUGAGAUUUUCAAUAAGAGUAAGUGGAAACUUUCAGUUCUAAGGUUUUAAUUGCAUUAAGAAAUUGUUAUCUUGGUCAUUGAGAUUGUAGCUUUCUGAAUUUGUUUUAUGUGACUUUUGAAAGCGCAUUCUAGCUGUUAUGGAUUUUGUUGUUUGUGUAUGUUGUCUUGUGAUGCACUUAUGGGGGUUUUCAUGCGAUUCAAAGAUGAUAGUGUGGAGUCAGAGCAAAGAUUGUGAACCCGUGGAAUGUGAAGAUCAUCUCGGUUGGUUGGUAAAAUUUAUUUGAUUUAAUGUGUUACCAAUAAAAAACUAAGUUAUGCUUGUAGGAAAAAUCAAAUUAAUUGUCUUAAUUUCUUGCUGCAAUGGAAAAAAAAAAUGGUUCCCUUUCAUUUAUGCUUGUAGGAAAAUCAGAAUGAUUGCUUUCAAGGUCAAUGGUUUGUUAGACCCCUGGAACCAUUAUGCACACAAGUAGUUAAUAGUUACCCCUUCCUUUGUGCUUUAAUUAUCUUGAUUUGUAUCGCUACAAUGAAAUAUGAUUGCUAUUAUUUACCUGUAAGAAUUUCACUGCAUCGAAUACGUAUAUUUACCAAAAUAAAAAGUACAUGGGAGGGGGGAUUGCUCAUGAAUUUCUAAGAUUGGUCCUGAUUGUAUAAUGGCUUGCUCAAAUUGGUUGCCUAUGUUGUGAAGCCUACAUACCAAAUAAUUUUCACACACCUUAUCAUUAUUUAAGAUUUGCAUAGAAAAAGGAGGACACACUUGUUAUUGCAAAGGGAAACUCUUUUUUGUUAAUAGCUUGUGUUAUAUGAAAGUGUUCUCUCAUGAUUUUGCGCUUAUCCUGUGUUUCUGACUGCAGAUUCCUUGUCCGCAGUGAUAUGCCUCUCAGAGUGCUUCCCAAGUUUAUUGGGGUUCAACUUGUUAACUUUCAUAUUCAAUUGUAUUUCAAGAACACUACACCUCUCAUUGAUAAGCAGAGCUGCAGUUUUUUCUUUUUGUUUCCCAAAUUAUUUGCCUACCUUGUGUUUGUAAGAACUUCAAUUCUAGCACUGUUGCAGAGGCUUUGAUGUCUGAAUUUGAUGCGGAGAAUAAGGGUGACAAUGGAGAUCUUCACACAGCCUACACUGGCAAAGGGAAAGGAGACGACUCUGAAUCAUUAAUGUGUUACCAGUAAGAGUUCCAUUGAAUUAGAUACUUUUAAUUCCCAGUCAAUUGGCGGACAUACCUCUGUUUUAAUUUGAGCCUCUAUGAAGAGUACUAAGAGUAGAGCUGCUGCAAGGAGUGACAUAAUUACUCGCAGGAUCAAGGGGAGGAAGUUAGUUGUCGAACUAACAAACCAAUCUGGAGUGACAAUUCCUGUAGGAUUAUAGAUGGUAUAACCGUAUAAAUGUUUAGGAUAAUGUAUAUAUGUUUAAAUACUAGAAGUGAAAUACAUUCUUCAUUCUCAUCAAAGAAACCAAAUAAAUAUUUUUGGAUUUGUGAAUUAUGAAUAGUAUCAGUGAGGUUGGAUUGUUA
Molecule: non-coding RNA, 2031 nt
Organism: Malus domestica (apple)
Lineage: Eukaryota; Viridiplantae; Streptophyta; Magnoliopsida; Rosales; Rosaceae
Source: RefSeq, a predicted model, not a curated record